GAUGAACGCUGGCGGCGUGCCUAAUACAUGCAAGUCGAGCGAACGGACGAGAAGCUUGCUUCUCUGAUGUUAGCGGCGGACGGGUGAGUAACACGUGGAUAACCUACCUAUAAGACUUGGAUAACUUCGGGAAACCGGAGCUAAUACCGGAUAAUAUUUUGAACCGCAUGGUUCAAAAGUGAAAGACGGUCUUGCUGUCACUUAUAGAUGGAUCCGCGCUGCAUUAGCUAGUUGGUAAGGUAACGGCUUACCAAGGCAACGAUGCAUAGCCGACCUGAGAGGGUGAUCGGCCACACUGGAACUGAGACACGCUCCAAACUCCUAAGGGAGGCAGCAGUAGGGAAUCUUCCGCAAUGGGCGAAAGCCUGACGGAGCAACGCCGCGUGAGUGAUGAAGGUCUUCGGAUCGUAAAACUCUGUUAUUAGGGAAGAACAUAUGUGUAAGUAACUGUGCACAUCUUGACGGUACCUAAUCAGAAGGCCACGGCUAAGUACGUG
RNAcentral lists this ribosomal RNA (497 nucleotides) under uncultured bacterium. RNAcentral's name for it is "partial 16S ribosomal RNA". It matches the Rfam family "Bacterial small subunit ribosomal RNA", at positions 28 to 507 of the family's 1533-position model. The record is from RNAcentral.